Molecule: ribosomal RNA, 468 nt
Filed under: uncultured bacterium
Lineage: Bacteria
Description: partial 16S ribosomal RNA
Rfam family: Bacterial small subunit ribosomal RNA
Source: RNAcentral
GACGAACGCUGGCGGCGUGCUUAACACAUGCAAGUCGAACGGAAAGGCCCUGCUUUUGUGGGGUGCUCGAGUGGCGAACGGGUGAGUAACACGUGAGUAACCUGCCCUUGACUUUGGGAUAACUUCAGGAAACUGGGGCUAAUACCGGAUAGGAGCUCCUGCUGCAUGGUGGGGGUUGGAAAGUUUCGGCGGUUGGGGAUGGACUCGCGGCUUAUCAGCUUGUUGGUGGGGUAGUGGCUUACCAAGGCUUUGACGGGUAGCCGGCCCGAGAGGGUGACCGGCCACAUUGGGACUGAGAUACGGCGCAGACUCCUACGGGAGGCAGCAGUGGGGAAUAUUGCACAAUGGGCGGAAGCCUGAUGCAGCAACGCCGCGUGCGGGAUGACGGCCUUCGGGUUGUAAACCGCUUUCGCCUGUGACGAAGCGUGAGUGACGGUAAUGGGUAAAGAAGCACCGGCUAACUACGUG